UAGGAUUUGUUUUACAUACUAACAGUUGUUUUCGGCUUGCUUUGUAAGUGGAGUGUGUUGAUUCUCUGAAGCAGCUAAAGGAGAAUAAGAAUUUGAUUCGCAUCUUCAUUCUGCUUUUGCAGGAAUGAUAUUGAAGUAGAAGCACUAGUGAUGAAUUGAGAAGAAUACCAGCUAGCACUACCUUCCCUUCCCAAAUGGCCUGAAGGAUUGCUAAUAGCAUACAUGUGUAAGUGACACAAAUUGGGAAGGAGCCCCUGCUGAAAUUUUACUCAGUACCAUUGAGUGUGUGACAUUUUAAUAUAUCAGUCCACACAGUUAACUGGUAAGUGAUAUUAUAAUUAAUUUAUACUUGUCAUUAUAUUAUUUUCCAAGUUCAAGUUAUAGGUAAGUAUGGUGUACUCUUAGUUCAUUUAAACAUGUUGAUAUCAGUGUCAACCAAAUGUAUUUCAAACCUCAUACAAAUUUUUGGUCUUGAUAUCUAGUAAGCUCUAUUCCUUGUGAACCUAUUCAUUUUGUAUUAAAUGUAUGUACGUGAAUAUUAUUCCUACUCCUCAUAGAUCACAAGUGAAUUACUGGUGCUGCAACACUCUCUAUCAGAUUAGGUACAAGGGUGUUGGAAAGCAGUGUGGGCAAAUAAUUAUUAGUCGUACCAUAUUGUAUAAUUGAUUCAAAGGCAGUUACCUAAAAUAUAGAUUUCCUGUAUUA
Molecule: long non-coding RNA, 705 nt
Organism: Daucus carota subsp. sativus
Lineage: Eukaryota; Viridiplantae; Streptophyta; Magnoliopsida; Apiales; Apiaceae
Exons: 3
Source: RefSeq, a predicted model, not a curated record